GUGUUGUAUUAUGAGUGCAGAAGGCAUGUUUGUUUUUCGAGCUGUUGCCUUUUCCGUCAUCCUGUGCUGUCAGAGUUCCCAUAAUAUCAUUUUGUGUUUUGUGUUUUGCUUUAAAAGAAACCCAAACCUAUAAAGAAGAUAGAAAUAUGGCAAAGGAAACGUCUGGUCUUUUAAUGAAUGUAAUUGGGACUCUGUCAUCCCUAUCCUCAAAUGAACAACGUGACAGGGAGAAAGCCAAACUCGAGCGGGAAUUUAAACUUAGCGAUCAGAGAUUGGAAAAAUUGGUCUCCACACAUCACAGAGACUUGGCCAGUGUAAUGCAAAUUUACAGCAAAGUUUCAGUAAGCAUUAAUGAUGCCCGAACCCGAAUAGCUAUGGUGAAAGGCCAAUUGGCUGCUUGCAGAGGACUUCUACAUUGUAGAAGAGAUGAACUUAAGAAACUGUGGCUUGAGGGUGUGGAACAUAAGCAGGUGCUUCUCAUGCUGAAUCAAAUUGAAAAAUUAAAAGAAAUUCCUGACAAAAUUAAUGAAAAUAUAGCAAAGAAGAAUUAUAUAGCAGCUGCAGAGCUUGUGGUUGAAGCCCAAGAAAAUCUACAAGGUCCACUGCAAAAUGUUGAAGCUUUAAAGGAUGUUCGGAGUGAUCUUGCCACAAAACAAGAGCGAUUUUACAAAAUUCUUCUGGAAGACUUGAAUCACUAUAUCUACGUAAAAUCGUCCAUUGACGUACUGCAGUGGAAACGUGCUGCAACUUCUCAAGCUCCUUUUCAAAGAGCAUCAAGUGGACGCAAUUCCUCUGGCAGGACCUCUGGAAACUUAAUUUCGAAAAACGACGCACCAAAAGUAAAAUCACUGAUGCUAGAAGUUGUCGGAAGCAGUCAAGGUGCUCCAGAUGAGAAAAGUAACCAGUGUAUAUAUAACAUAGUUCAGUGUCUCUCGCUAGUAAAUAAGUUACCUGAAACACUAGAAAGUUUAAAAAAUGGAAUGGGAAUGGAAAUGACAUUGAUUACGAGAAAAACCGCUCAACAAAUUAGCGAGAUGUAUCCGCCUAAUAGCAAAAAUGUUUUGAAGGAACUGUUUGAGGCUGUAAUGGAGCAAAUGCGGAGGAUCGUGAAGGCUCACAUUGCCGUUCUCGAUAGCGUUAAGGCUCUACUGAAGGACCAGCAGUACAAUAACGAUGUUGUUAUGUACAACAUAGAGGAUGUAUGGUCCCAAGUACAAACUGUGAUUCAAGUUUUGUUGUCCCAAUAUUGGGAUAUUGGUAGUACCGCUUCAAAAAGCGGUAACUCGGGCAGUAGUUUCUCAUCAAAUUCUCAAUUGGGAGCAGCCGAUUUGAACGCAUACUUUUCCAGGAGACGACAGCCCAGACCACAGAAAACGACAUUAUUCCGUUUCGAAGGUUCUCUCCAUUCAAUCAGCUUGAAUGAGUCUAAUAGCGACUAUUCCAAGCAAGACCAACAUGGUCUGGAUGCGCAGGAUCGGAUUUUAAUUGUCGAACCUAACGCGCGUUUGGUGAUUGAAAUUUAUCAACCCUUAAUGACCUUUGUUCAAGAAAUAGAAACUGCGCUGGGGUGUAGCUCUCAAGGGACGCAUUGCGCGCUUCAUGUGUUUAUCACAGUAUUUACACGCGACGUUUUUCUCAGUCAAAUUCACAUCGAGAUGGGCACCGCCCUAGAUGAAGCCACGCGAAAACUGGAUAUGUGGAAGUCUGUAAAUCCCACUGAGUUGACACAAAAUACAAAAGCCACACGGCCUUUGCUUCAGAGCACCAUACAAGUUUACCGCUGUCUGAUGGAAAUCCGCCAACUAAUGGAAGCGCUUCCCCAAUUUGCCCAGCAUUUUCUCGGAAUGACCUGCAAUAUGCUACUGCGAUACAGCGAAACUUGUCAAGCGGCUUAUCGAGGUCUAGUUCAACCGGACUCGGAAGACAAAAGAGUAAUCAGUGCUACUUGGGCGAAAGAUGAAGACAUACAUCGAUUUCUGAGGUCUCUUCCGAGUUGGACGGCUUUGCAAACUGUACGAGCACAUCGGAACUCCGGAACGACCGAUUGUGAAACUUAUGAAGAUAGCCCAGAGGAAAUCAGGCAAAGAAGUGCCAAAGAAACGGAAAUACUAACAGGAAAUCUUGGUGACGCCAUUAUUCCACCCCAUGAGAUUCUCGCCGACCCUACGCAAUUGCGUAUAUUGGCAUUGCUACAAGAAUCUUUGGAGUGGUUUGCAGCACAUAUACAGGAAUUAGCGAAUAGCAUAACUCGCUCUGGCGCUUCUGAAUCCGUCCUAGCUCUUCCAGAGUCGAACGUUCAGACUUUACUGGAACUAGCGAAAGAUUUUGAAGACCUAGCCGACACCUGUCUAUUAGUUUUGCAUUUGGAAGUGCGCGUGCAUUGCUUUUAUCAUCUAGUGCCACUUGGAAGACAAUCGCAGUUUUGGCUGAAUGGCGACAAUCAAGAACCUGACCCUGAAAUUGGCCGACUCAGUCGCGAUUUGACUGCAAUCGACGAAUCCCUAUCAGCUUUCAUUCAGCCACGAAAACAUCGAUACAUAUUUGAGGGAGUUAGUCACCUUGUAUCCAGUAUCAUAAUGUCAUCGGUGCAGCAUAUCCGGCGGAUGAAUGAAAAUGGCGUCAAAAAGAUGUGUCGCAAUAUUUUCGCCUUGCAGCAAACGUUAACCAGCAUCACUUUGGCCCGCGAACCAGCGUUGGACCAUGCGCGCCAAUAUUUUGAGCUGCUUUGCGUAACGCCAGAGGUAAAGGACACUUUCUGCUUUUUUCGAGUGAAGCAAUUGGUUUCUAGUAGAUAAAACAAUAUUUUUGCAUUUACGUUUAUCAAAAAUUUAUAAUAUAUGAUUACUUACGUUAUGCUGCAUUAAUGAAGGAUUCCUCGUUCCUUCAAGGAAUGGAAGAAAUAUUAAAUGGUAUUCUGGAGCGCGGAUCUCAAUACACUGAAUUGGAGUAUAUUCAAGUACUUCAACUAUUGAACAGAAGUCGCCCCGGUACAGCUUCCAACGAAAUAACUCGUCAUCUCGAACGCCUGUCGGAGAUCCU
This 3039-nucleotide unclassified non-coding RNA is filed under the name Daphnia magna. RNAcentral describes it as "exocyst complex component 4, transcript variant X1". Lineage: Eukaryota; Metazoa; Arthropoda; Branchiopoda; Diplostraca; Daphniidae. The record is from RNAcentral.